GUUGGGUAACACUAACUGGAGGACCGAACCGACUAAUGUUGAAAAAUUAGCGGAUGACUUGUGGCUGGGGGUGAAAGGCCAAUCAAACCGGGAGAUAGCUGGUUCUCCCCGAAAGCUAUUUAGGUAGCGCCUCGUGAAUUCAUCUCCGGGGGUAGAGCACUGUUUCGGCAAGGGGGUCAUCCCGACUUACCAACCCGAUGCAAACUGCGAAUACCGGAGAAUGUUAUCACGGGAGACACACGGCGGGUGCUAACGUCCGUCGUGAAGAGGGAAACAACCCAGACCGCCAGCUAAGGUCCCAAAGUCAUGGUUAAGUGGGAAACGAUGUGGGAAGGCCCAGACAGCCAGGAUGUUGGCUUAGAAGCAGCCAUCAUUUAAAGAAAGCGUAAUAGCUCACUGGUCGAGUCGGCCUGCGCGGAAGAUGUAACGGGGCUAAACCAUGCACCGAAGCUGCGGCAGCGACGCUGAUGCGUUGUUGGGUAGGGGAGCGUUCUGUAAGCCUGU
Molecule: ribosomal RNA, 504 nt
Filed under: Escherichia coli
Lineage: Bacteria; Pseudomonadati; Pseudomonadota; Gammaproteobacteria; Enterobacterales; Enterobacteriaceae
Description: partial 23S ribosomal RNA
Rfam family: Bacterial large subunit ribosomal RNA
Source: RNAcentral